Molecule: ribosomal RNA, 252 nt
Filed under: uncultured bacterium
Lineage: Bacteria
Description: partial 16S ribosomal RNA
Rfam family: Bacterial small subunit ribosomal RNA
Source: RNAcentral
UACGGAGGAUGCGAGCGUUAUCCGGAUUUAUUGGGUUUAAAGGGUGCGUAGGCGGUCCGUUAAGUCAGCGGUAAAAUUGCGGGGCUCAACCCCGUCGAGCCGUUGAAACUGGCAGACUUGAGUUGGCGAGAAGUACGCGGAAUGCGCGGUGUAGCGGUGAAAUGCAUAGAUAUCGCGCAGAACUCCGAUUGCGAAGGCGGCUCUCUGGACUGUAACUGACACUGAGGCACGAAAGCGUGGGGAGCAAACAGG